Myodes glareolus (Bank vole) is the source of this 1513-nucleotide non-coding RNA. The record is from RefSeq and is a predicted model, not a curated record. Lineage: Eukaryota; Metazoa; Chordata; Mammalia; Rodentia; Cricetidae.
CAGCUGUGCUUACUGCACAUGCGCAGCCGCAAUAUCAACAUGACCAUCCACAUCCCAGCAGGCAGAAGAACUAGUUGGACUCAUUGUGUUACAAGAAAUAGGAUGUGCAGGGGCACCAGUCUCACGUGUACACAGAGAUCAAUAGAAGCAGACCACAAGCAUAAACAGUGAAAUUUUGUUCAAAUUUUCCUUCUUCGUGAUUCCUUGAGUUUAAGUAGUUAUUUGUGUGAGUAUCUUUAGGAUGGUGGGUUGGUGAUUUACUAGAGCAUGGGCAAUUUAUCAGUGGUACACUACCAAGGAAUAGGAAAGAUGUGAUGGCUAAUUUUAUCUAUCAACUUGACACAAUCUGGAGUCACCUGAAAAGAGAGGUUCAGUGUGGUGUUUUCAGAUCAGGUUGGCCUAUGGAUAUGCCUUGAUUAUAUUAACUGAUGUGGAAAUAGACACCUACUCUCAGUGGUGCCGAAUCACAGAAAGGCGUUUCUAAUCUGUAAGGUGGACAGAGCAUGCUGAGCACUAGCAGAUGUAGCUGGUUCAUGGCUCUCUGCUCCUGACUCUGGAUAGAGUGUGACCUAUUUCAAUAGCCUACUGCCAUGGCAUCCCUAAAGAUGAGCUAUUAUCUAGAAGUGAGAUAGAACGAACUCUUUCUCCACUGAGUUUCUUUCCUCAAGGUAUUCUGUCACAGCCCCAGAAAGUGAAACUAUGACAGACCCACAUGGCAUAGCAUUCAAUAUGCACUAAGUGAACAGUGAAGUCACAGCGUGAAGUUCUGUUCAGGUGAAAAGUGACACAAAAUUGACUUAUAUUAAGUCAAUUUUAUUAUAUUAGCAAAUAGUGUGUGUAUGUACAUAUAUAGGUAAGUGUGUAUUCACUCUGUCCUUAUUAGUGUAGUGAACAAAACAGUGUGUUUCUCUGUCAUGGUUUCGUUCACACACAUCAUGUACUUUGGUCACAGUGUGCUUGUUCCCUGUUCUUCACCAGAUUCUGUACCCACUGAUUAUCAUUUCUUCCCAAAUGGUUAUAGUUUUAAUUUUGUGUCACUUAUUCACCUGAUUCCAUGUAUGACAGACAGCAUGUAAUUAUUUGUACUUCUGUUUCUGGAGUAUUUCAUUUAACAGAAUGAUAUCCAAUCUAACCAUGUUUCAGGAAAAUUACCCCAUUUCCUCUGGGUGGCAGAAUAAAACCCCACUGUGUGCAUACCGUCUGCGAUGGUUAACAUUGACUGUGAACUUGACAGAUUCUAGAAUCACUUAGGAAGACAAAUCUCUAGCUGUGCCUGAGAUGGAUCAUCCCGAUUGCAUUAACUGAGAUUGGAAGGCCCACUCUACAAGUGGUGGAACCAUUCCAUGGGCUGGAGGAGAAACAUGAGAAAGUGAGCCAAACACCGGAGUUCAUUUCUCUACUUCCUAACUUGGAUACCAUGUGACCAGCUGCCACAUGCUCCUGCUACUGUGAUUUCUUUGCCAUAAUGCACUGUGCCCUUGAACUGUGACAAAAUAAACAUUCCCUUCCUUGA